UCUCAGACACAUUUACUUGGCCUAUUCGGUGUUUCUAAGAGCACCGUUGGAUUAGCUGCGGUAUUUUAAAGUGGGAGCCUUUGCAUAAAAAUCUGGAGCUCUGCUGGGUUUGGGCUUUCCAAAACCAAGCUCUUAAUGAUGGAUUGCCUUUUUGUUCUAAUCGAUGUCAUCUGGAAAGAUCCCAUGAAAUCCUAAGUAGUGGUUUAGAACAUACAGCUGUGCAAAGGCAGAGGAAGGAUGAUAUUCCCACGGCCAGCAACUACCCUCGGCAAGACCACGGCUCAGGAGCUGAUGUGUUUUGGCUUUGGGCCCCUGAAUAUACCGCCUGCUUCCAGCUGUUUGAGGCCAGGUGGCCCCAAGCCGGGAAACAUACACAGAUGUAAAUGAAAACAAAACACAUCACGGGAAAUGGGCCACAUUCUUUUCCUCUACAGUUAUGGGAGUUCGUGCAUGAUGAACAGAGAGGCUGAAGGCCUGGAUGAACAUUGAUCAACUGAUUUGGCAAAUAAUGUUUCCAUUAUGGAAUGUACAAUGGAGCUUCUCCCAACUGGGCUAGUGUUUUGCUCAACAAAGCAAUAUUUUUUUGCAAGUGAAGCUUAAUCAUUUAAUGAUGGUUAUUUUACUGUGUUUUGGGGGAGAGGGAUAAUCUUUUGUAUACCCUCUCAAUGGGAUCCUUGACCAGCCCUUCUGAAAACUGGGGAGGUUAGAAAAUUCACAGGAGAAAAAUACAGAAGCAAAUCACUAUUGUCAGAGUACUUGGUUAUACUUGACCAAAUUUGCUUAAAGGGCAGCUCCAUUGGU
Long non-coding RNA from Mustela lutreola (European mink), 801 nucleotides. RefSeq lists it as uncharacterized. The transcript has 3 exons. NCBI's taxonomy places the organism in Eukaryota, Metazoa, Chordata, Mammalia, Carnivora, Mustelidae. The record is from RefSeq and is a predicted model, not a curated record.